RNAcentral lists this ribosomal RNA (225 nucleotides) under uncultured Alistipes sp. RNAcentral's name for it is "partial 16S ribosomal RNA". It matches the Rfam family "Bacterial small subunit ribosomal RNA", at positions 568 to 792 of the family's 1533-position model. The record is from RNAcentral. Lineage: Bacteria; Pseudomonadati; Bacteroidota; Bacteroidia; Bacteroidales; Rikenellaceae.
UGCGUAGGCGGUUUGAUAAGUUAGAGGUGAAAGCUCGGGGCUUAACUCCGAGACUGCCUCUAAUACUGUUGAGCUAGAGAGUAGUUGCGGUAGGCGGAAUGUAUGGUGUAGCGGUGAAAUGCGUAGAGAUCAUACAGAACACCGAUUGCGAAGGCAGCUUACCAAACUAUAUCUGACGUUGAGGCACGAAAGCGUGGGGAGCAAACAGGAUUAGAUACCCCCGUA